GAGGCUAAUUAGAAUACUUCCUGAUAUACAUUGCCACAUUAAGAAUCAAAUACUUCCCAAUCAGCUAGAACCUCGGCGGUGUAGCCAGCUACGCUCGUUAAAGCCCAGAACUAAAGGCGACGCGUGGCGUGCCGAGUUCGAAUCCUCGGCAUUUGAUGAAAUCAUGAACUACAAUUUUAUACCUCUCUCUAUCGAGUUUUUCUGAAAAGAAAAUAUGCAACAGGCAAGUGACAGCCCCGCUUUGCCAUAUUGUUGUAGGUGCACGUAUCUUCUGGGAGUGCACCUUAGUAAAGGGGUGCUUGAUGAUGUUAGGCACCCAGGGGCCCGAGGAAACUCGCGCACUGGCUACUGAUCCCCCGCCCGUGGAGGUUUUAGCCGGUAAGAAUCCGGCACUACCUUAUGCCCCACCACUUUGAAUGGGUAUUAAG
RNAcentral lists this unclassified non-coding RNA (428 nucleotides) under Bombus terrestris (buff-tailed bumblebee). RNAcentral's name for it is "misc RNA ENSBTSG00005021335.1". The record is from RNAcentral. Lineage: Eukaryota; Metazoa; Arthropoda; Insecta; Hymenoptera; Apidae.